CUGUUGGAGGUACUGGAGUUGGGCUGUUGGAGGUACUGGAGUUGGGCUGUUGGAGGUACUGGAGUUGGGCUGUUGGAGGUACUGGAGUUGGGCUGUUGGAGGUACUGGAGUUGGGCUGUUGGAGGUACUGGAGUUGGGCUGUUGGAGGUACUGGAGUUGGGCUGUUGGAGGUACUGGAGUUGGGCUGUUGGAGGUACUGGAGUUGGGCUGUUGGAGGUACUGGAGUUGGGCUGAUGGGAGGAAUUCUCUGGCAAAUAUUCCUGCAGUCAACAUGACAAUUGCACGCUCCCUCGAAUCUUGAGAUGUAAAACUGCACAUUGUAGAGUGGCCUUUUAUUGUCCCCAGCACAAGGUGCACCUGUGUAAUGAUCAUGCUGUUUAAUCGGCUUCUUCAUUUUCCACACCUGUCAGGUGGAUGGAUUAUCUGGGCAAAGGAGAAAUGUUCACUAACAGGGAUGUGCACAACAUUGGAGAGAAAUCAGCUUUUUGUGCUGAUGGAACAUUCCUGGGAUCUUUUAUUUCAGCUCAUGAAACAUGGGACCAACACUUUACAUGUUGCGUUUAUAUUUUGGUUCGGUGUAAAAUGGAUACAAUGUCACUUGCCUACACACAAUACUCCAUAAUGUCAAAGUGGAAUGAUGUUUUUAGAAAUGUUUACUAAUUACAAAAUGAAAGGCU
Oncorhynchus keta (chum salmon) is the source of this 677-nucleotide long non-coding RNA. RefSeq lists it as uncharacterized. The record is from RefSeq and is a predicted model, not a curated record. The transcript has 3 exons. Lineage: Eukaryota; Metazoa; Chordata; Actinopteri; Salmoniformes; Salmonidae.